This 253-nucleotide ribosomal RNA is filed under the name uncultured bacterium. Its description in RNAcentral is "partial 16S ribosomal RNA". It matches the Rfam family "Bacterial small subunit ribosomal RNA", at positions 524 to 776 of the family's 1533-position model. The record is from RNAcentral.
UACGUAGGGUGCAAGCGUUGUCCGGAAUUAUUGGGCGUAAAGAGCUUGUAGGCGGUUUGUCGCGUCUGCUGUGAAAUUUCGGGGCUCAACCCCGAACUUGCAGUGGGUACGGGCAGACUAGAGUGUGGUAGGGGAGACUGGAAUUCCUGGUGUAGCGGUGAAAUGCGCAGAUAUCAGGAGGAACACCGAUGGCGAAGGUAGGUCUCUGGGCCAUAACUGACGCUGAGAAGCGAAAGCAUGGGGAGCGAACAGG